RNAcentral lists this ribosomal RNA (484 nucleotides) under uncultured bacterium. Its description in RNAcentral is "partial 16S ribosomal RNA". It matches the Rfam family "Bacterial small subunit ribosomal RNA", at positions 30 to 507 of the family's 1533-position model. The record is from RNAcentral.
AUUGAACGCUGGCGGCAGGCCUAACACAUGCAAGUCGAGCGGAUGAAGGGAGCUUGCUCCUGGAUUCAGCGGCGGACGGGUGAGUAAUGCCUAGGAAUCUGCCUGGUAGUGGGGGAUAACGUCCGGAAACGGGCGCUAAUACCGCAUACGUCCUGAGGGAGAAAGUGGGGGAUCUUCGGACCUCACGCUAUCAGAUGAGCCUAGGUCGGAUUAGCUAGUUGGUGGGGUAAAGGCCUACCAAGGCGACGAUCCGUAACUGGUCUGAGAGGAUGAUCAGUCACACCGGAACUGGGACACGGUCCAGACUCCUACGGGAGGCAGCAGUGGGGAAUAUUGGACAAUGGGCGAAAGCCUGAUCCAGCCAUGCCGCGUGUGUGAAGAAGGUCUUCGGAUUGUAAAGCACUUUAAGUUGGGAGGAAGGGCAGUAAGUUAAUACCUUGCUGUUUUGACGUUACCAACAGAAUAAGCACCGGCUAACUUCGUG